GGGAAUUUUCCGCAAUGGGCGAAAGCCUGACGGAGUGACGCCGCGUGGGGGACGAAGGCCUUCGGGUCGUAAACCCCUGUCAGAGGGAAAGAAGGGUCGCCGACCUAAUACGUCGGUGAUUUGACGGUACCUUCAGAGGAAGCCCCGGCCAACUCUGUGCCAGCAGCCGCGGUAAUACGAAGGGGGCUAGCGUUGUUCGGAAUCACUGGGCGUAAAGCGCGCGUAGGCGGGUCGUUAAGUCGGGGGUGAAAUCCCGAGGCUCAACCUCGGAACUGCCUUCGAUACUGACGACCUUGAGUCCGGGAGAGGUGAGUGGAACUCCUAGUGUAGAGGUGAAAUUCGUAGAUAUUAGGAAGAACACCAGUGGCGAAGGCGGCUCACUGGCCCGGUACUGACGCUGAUGUGCGAAAGCGUGGGGAGCAAAC
This 425-nucleotide ribosomal RNA is filed under the name uncultured bacterium. Its description in RNAcentral is "bacterial SSU rRNA". It matches the Rfam family "Bacterial small subunit ribosomal RNA", at positions 357 to 773 of the family's 1533-position model. The record is from RNAcentral.